CCCUUAGAUGUUCUGGGCCGCACGCGCGCUACACUGAAUGCUACCAUACGAUCAUAACCCUUGUCCGUAAUGGUCAGGGAAAACGGUCAAAAGGCAUCGCCUAACAUGAUGGGAAUGAACUAUUGUAAUUUGUAGUUCUGAACGAGGAAUUCCUAGUAAUCGCUAGUCAACAACUAGCUAUGAUUACGUCCCUGCCCUUUGUACACACCGCCCGUCGCUACUACUGAUUGGGUGUUUAAGCAAGAAUCUCGGAACCUUGCAGUUUUGUCUCCGGAUGAAACAGUGAGUGGAAGAGAAUCGAGCUUAUUUGCCUAGAGGAAGUAAAAGUCGUAACA
This 335-nucleotide ribosomal RNA is filed under the name uncultured eukaryote. RNAcentral's name for it is "partial 18S ribosomal RNA". It matches the Rfam family "Eukaryotic small subunit ribosomal RNA", at positions 1470 to 1796 of the family's 1831-position model. The record is from RNAcentral.